CUCACUCCCGCCACAGCUUGGGAUCGGUCUCUGCUGUUUUACGUCCUCCACCUCGGGAGCCCCCGGUGACUGUCACAGCCUCUUGCCCUGUGAUCUGCAGGUUCUGGGAGACGCACAGCUAAGAUGCCAGGACAUCCUGGAAGCUGGGAAAAGGCAGUUUCACUCUCGUUGCCCAGGCUGGAGUGCAAUGGCGUGAUCUCAGCUCACUACAACCUCCACCUCCCAGGUUCAAGGGAUUCUCCUGCCUCAGCCUCCCAAGUUCUGACAACAAAGGAGAUUGUGACAUAUUGCUGGGCCUAACACUAAGGUGAUGUUAGUUAUUUGCUUUGGCUGUGCCCUUGGAAGGCAUUGAGACAUACUGCUGUGCCCAGCACCAAGAUGAUGUAACGUGACUCUUCUGCUUCAGGCCUGCCAAAAGAAAAGAUUGUGACAGAUCACUGGACCCAGCACCUAGGUAGGAUUGUGACAUAUAUCUGGCCAAGCGUACAGAUGUAAUGAUGACUGUCAUACCUUGAAGAAGCCAAUAGCAGAGAGAAUGUUGCUCUCAGG
This 549-nucleotide long non-coding RNA is filed under the name Homo sapiens (human). RNAcentral's name for it is "novel transcript". Lineage: Eukaryota; Metazoa; Chordata; Mammalia; Primates; Hominidae. The record is from RNAcentral.